GGAGAGGUGCCCGAGCGGUUGAAGGGGCGCGCCUGGAAAGCGCGUGUACGCAACCCGUACCCAGGGUUCAAAUCCCUGCCUCUCCG
RNAcentral lists this transfer RNA (86 nucleotides) under Chitinispirillales bacterium. Its description in RNAcentral is "tRNA-Ser". It matches the Rfam family "tRNA". Rfam says of the family: Transfer RNA (tRNA) molecules are approximately 80 nucleotides in length. Their secondary structure includes four short double-helical elements and three loops (D, anti-codon, and T loops). Lineage: Bacteria; Pseudomonadati; Fibrobacterota; Chitinispirillia; Chitinispirillales. The record is from RNAcentral.